RNAcentral lists this transfer RNA (75 nucleotides) under Azospirillum sp. 51_20. RNAcentral's name for it is "tRNA-Asn". It matches the Rfam family "tRNA". From Rfam's summary of the family: Transfer RNA (tRNA) molecules are approximately 80 nucleotides in length. Their secondary structure includes four short double-helical elements and three loops (D, anti-codon, and T loops). Further hydrogen bonds mediate the characteristic L-shaped molecular structure. tRNAs have two regions of fundamental functional importance: the anti-codon, which is responsible for specific mRNA codon recognition, and the 3' end, to which the tRNAs corresponding amino acid is attached (by aminoacyl-tRNA synthetases). tRNAs cope with the degeneracy of the genetic code in two manners: having more than one tRNA (with a specific anti-codon) for a particular amino acid; and 'wobble' base-pairing, i.e. permitting non-standard base-pairing at the 3rd anti-codon position. Lineage: Bacteria; Pseudomonadati; Pseudomonadota; Alphaproteobacteria; Rhodospirillales; Azospirillaceae. RNAcentral also lists the same sequence under 4 other names. The record is from RNAcentral.
UCCGGCUUAGCUCAGCGGUAGAGCAAUCGGCUGUUAACCGAUUGGUCGUUGGUUCGAAUCCGACAGCCGGAGCCA